AAAUGGAGACAAACUGGUUGGCAAUCUUCUUAAGGUCAUAUAGAGGCCAAGUCAGGAUUUGAAGCCAGAUGGAACCUGUUCUCCCUAACCAGUAAGCUCUGGAAGAGAGUAAUAGGUCUGGGGAUCAUCAGGGUGGACUUCUCAGGUGAGGUGGCUUCAGCUUGGCGUGGAAGGAUCUUGAAGGUGUGCUGAGUCAUGCUUCAUUCCUAAACAACCAUAGGGAUGCAGGAACACCUGUGGUAUGUCAGGAUAAGAAGGGAAGCUGAAUGAAUGGAUGAAACUGGGGAAGCAUGUGCAAGAAGGUGAGGAGAGUGAGGCAGGACAGGGAGGCGGGACCUCAGGGAAGAGGCUGGCAGGUGCAGUAGAGGCUUGUGGGUACAAUAGAGGUUUGUAGGUACAGUGGGUGAGAUUGGAGGAAAGCACAUUGUUUUGAACUUCUGGAGAAUUAACAGGCUGUGAGUUGGGUGAAGCAAUUGAUUGACUAAAGUCAGCUAAAAAACGGUCCACCACAGACUCUCUGAGGCCAAACCUCAGCGGCUGGAGGAUUCAGUCCUUAUGCUGUGCAGACAGCUCCUCCUGAGGACUCACAUCGGACACAGCAUGCAGGCAAUCAGCCGGAAGCAAUCUAGAGCAGAGGCCAAUGGAUGCAAGCUUGUCCCACCCACCCCUAACAAGACCAGAUUGCAUCAUCAGAAGAGAAUUCCAAAAAUAUUUCAUAUUUUCAAAGGUGAUAUUGGUUCAUUCCACAGAACCAGGAAAUUAUCAAAAAGAUUGAGCAGAAGAGAGCAGAGAUCUUGGAUCGUUUUGAAAGAAUAUCACCUUUUUAAAAAAGAAUAUCAACGUAGUUAUUGCGGCCACUCCAUGGACGCGGGAUGGGCCCCCAUCCAAUAUGUGGUUCCCACAUCAAGACUGAUGACGUCACUCAAUCACCCAAAGUGCAUGAAAAGAUUUGUUACCAGCCUCCCAAGUUGGUCCCUGACGACUCGGGAGAGCAGGAGAGGAGACUUUCGUGGGGUCUUUCUGGCCCUUAGGAGCUGGCUGGGUGAGGACUCCUGCGUGCUUUGAACCUUCCCAAUGGUGCCGAAGAAAGGAGCGUGUGGGCACUCCUACCCAUGUGCCCAGAUGGGGCAGAAGGGAACAGGGAGGAGGAGACUUGAAAGACAUCUGCAGCCAGUUGUCAGAAAUAGAGUCAGGUUUUUUAUUACAGAAACUAUCAUAGGAAAAAUCAGAAUUCGUGGGGAAGAAUGUACACUGUCAUCUUUGUACUGUUGCUAAUGAUCUGUUUCAUGGUGGGUGGGGAUCACUUCCUUCUCAGCAUUUAAGGCCUCAGCGUUGUGACUGGCCUGGGCUCCAACUUACCUUUCUCCCCUUAUUUUCCACUCUUGUCUUUGGAAGCAGCCCUGAGCCACGAGAACCAUGGUCAGCUCUCUGCCGUGACCUCCGCUCCUGCCCAGCUCUGGUCCUGGAAGCCUUUCCCACCUAUUUGCUGUGUAUGAGUCUUAUCCGUCUUCAAGUCCAGUUCCAACGCGUGAAACUUUUUCUGGUUCCACCUCUUGGAAGAGAUUCUUGCUUCUUCUCAAGCCCCUGAGCAUAUUUUGUUUCCUCUUAGACCACUUGUUCUCUAGCCAUGUCUGCAAGGGCCUGGAGACCAGAAUCCAAGAGACCCACUGAUUUUUCUGUCUUCCACACUGUCUUCCUCAGAGGUGUCUGUGCCAGGAGGUUGAGAACCUCAUUUCACACACUGUUAUUCCCUUAACACUUGGAGCAGUGCCUGGCACAGAACUGGUGCUCACUGUAUACCAUUCUGUAAAUAAAUAAUAGAUGAAUAUGUGUUGAAUAAAUGAAAGCUAAAUUCAUAGAGGCUGUCUGAUUCAAACUUGUAUUAUAUCCUUAAAUUGCUUCUUAGGCAUUGCUUAAAUAAAAGGGAAAUGCACGUUUU
RNAcentral lists this long non-coding RNA (1939 nucleotides) under Equus caballus (horse). Its description in RNAcentral is "lncRNA (ENSECAG00000036702.3)". Lineage: Eukaryota; Metazoa; Chordata; Mammalia; Perissodactyla; Equidae. The record is from RNAcentral.